RNAcentral lists this ribosomal RNA (460 nucleotides) under uncultured bacterium. RNAcentral's name for it is "partial 16S ribosomal RNA". It matches the Rfam family "Bacterial small subunit ribosomal RNA", at positions 338 to 795 of the family's 1533-position model. The record is from RNAcentral.
CCUACGGGUGGCAGCAGUGAGGAAUAUUGGUCAAUGGACGCAAGUCUGAACCAGCCAUGCCGCGUGCAGGAAUACGGCUCUAUGAGUUGUAAACUGCUUUUGUACGAGGGUAAACGCAGAUACGUUUAUCUGUCUGAAAGUCUCGUACGAAUAAGGAUCGGCUAACUCCGUGCCAGCAGCCGCGGUAAUCCGGAGGAUUCAAGCGUUAUCCGGAUUUUUUGGGUUUAAAGGGUGCGUAGGCGGUCGGAUAAGUUAGAGGUGAAAUCCCGAGGCUCAACUUCGGAAUUGCCUCUGAUACUGGUAGGCUAGAGAGUAGUUGCGGUAGGCGGAAUGUAUGGUGUAGCGGUGAAAUGCUUAGAGAUCAUACAGAACACCGAUUGCGAAGGCAGCUUACCAAGCUACUUCUGACGUUGAGGUACGAAAGCGUGGGGAGCAAACAGGAUUAGAUACCCCUGUAGUC